This 85-nucleotide transfer RNA is filed under the name Agrobacterium rubi. Its description in RNAcentral is "tRNA-Leu". It matches the Rfam family "tRNA". From Rfam's summary of the family: Transfer RNA (tRNA) molecules are approximately 80 nucleotides in length. Their secondary structure includes four short double-helical elements and three loops (D, anti-codon, and T loops). Further hydrogen bonds mediate the characteristic L-shaped molecular structure. tRNAs have two regions of fundamental functional importance: the anti-codon, which is responsible for specific mRNA codon recognition, and the 3' end, to which the tRNAs corresponding amino acid is attached (by aminoacyl-tRNA synthetases). tRNAs cope with the degeneracy of the genetic code in two manners: having more than one tRNA (with a specific anti-codon) for a particular amino acid; and 'wobble' base-pairing, i.e. permitting non-standard base-pairing at the 3rd anti-codon position. Lineage: Bacteria; Pseudomonadati; Pseudomonadota; Alphaproteobacteria; Hyphomicrobiales; Rhizobiaceae. The record is from RNAcentral.
GCGGUCGUGGCGAAACAGGCAGACGCGCAACGUUGAGAGCGUUGUGGGGCAACCCGUGGAAGUUCAAGUCUUCUCGGCCGCACCA